Molecule: ribosomal RNA, 253 nt
Filed under: uncultured bacterium
Lineage: Bacteria
Description: partial 16S ribosomal RNA
Rfam family: Bacterial small subunit ribosomal RNA
Source: RNAcentral
UACGGAGGGUGCAAGCGUUAAUCGGAAUUACUGGGCGUAAAGCGUGCGCAGGCGGUUUGUUAAGUCCGUUGUGAAAGCCCCGAGCUCAACUUGGGAAUUGCAGUGGAUACUGGCAGGCUGGAGUACGGUAGAGGAAGGUGGAAUUCCCGGUGUAGCAGUGAGAUGCGUAGAUAUCGGGAGGAACACCAGUGGCGAAGGCGGCCUUCUGGACCAGUACUGACGCUCAUGCACGAAAGCGUGGGGAGCAAACAGG